AGCACGGUAGCUCAGUGGUAGCAGCGGUGGGCUCAUAACCCAAAGGUCCCUGGAUCGAAACCAGGCCGUGCUA
Molecule: non-coding RNA, 73 nt
Organism: Colletotrichum gloeosporioides
Lineage: Eukaryota; Fungi; Ascomycota; Sordariomycetes; Glomerellales; Glomerellaceae
Source: Rfam